RNAcentral lists this ribosomal RNA (253 nucleotides) under uncultured bacterium. Its description in RNAcentral is "partial 16S ribosomal RNA". It matches the Rfam family "Bacterial small subunit ribosomal RNA", at positions 524 to 777 of the family's 1533-position model. The record is from RNAcentral.
UACGUAGGCAGCGAGCGUUGUUCGGAAUUACUGGGCGUAAAGAGUGUGUAGGCGGUGCUCUAAGUUCGGUGUGAAAUCUCCUGCUUAACUGGGAGGGUGCGCCGGAAACUGGGGUGCUCGAGCGUGGGAGAGGAAAGCGGAAUUCCUGGUGUAGCGGUGAAAUGCGCAGAUAUCGGGAGGAACACCAAUUGCGAAGGCAGCUUGCUGGGACGAUACUGACGCUGAGGCGCGAAAGCGUGGGGAGCAAACAGGG